GGGCCCGCACAAGCGGUGGAGCAUGUGGUUUAAUUCGAUGAUACGCGAGGAACCUUACCAGGGCUUAAAUGUAAGUUGCAUGGAUCAGAGAUGGUCCUUUCUUCGGACUACUUACAAGGUGCUGCAUGGUUGUCGUCAGCUCGUGCCGUGAGGUGUCAGGUUAAGUCCUAUAACGAGCGCAACCCCUAUCGUUAGUUGCCAGCAAGUAAAGUUGGGUACUCUAGCGAGACUGCCGGUGCAAACCGAGAGGAAGGUGGGGAUGACGUCAAAUCAUCACGGCCCUUACGUCCUGGGCUACACACGUGCUACAAUGGCCGGUACAGAGAGCAGCCACUACGCGAGUAGGAGCGAAUCUUCAAAGCCGGUCUCAGUUCGGAUCGCAGUCUGCAACUCGACUGCGUGAAGCUGGAAUCGCUAGUAAUCG
This 424-nucleotide ribosomal RNA is filed under the name uncultured bacterium. RNAcentral describes it as "bacterial SSU rRNA". It matches the Rfam family "Bacterial small subunit ribosomal RNA", at positions 917 to 1344 of the family's 1533-position model. The record is from RNAcentral.